CAGCCGCGUCUCGAUCUCCUG
RNAcentral lists this unclassified non-coding RNA (21 nucleotides) under Mus musculus (house mouse). RNAcentral describes it as "oocyte_clustered_small_RNA11776". Lineage: Eukaryota; Metazoa; Chordata; Mammalia; Rodentia; Muridae. The record is from RNAcentral.